Molecule: long non-coding RNA, 148 nt
Organism: Populus euphratica (Euphrates poplar)
Lineage: Eukaryota; Viridiplantae; Streptophyta; Magnoliopsida; Malpighiales; Salicaceae
Exons: 2
Source: RefSeq, a predicted model, not a curated record
AUAGAGAGACUCUAGCAACCCAAUUUCUUGAGGAAUGGAACCAGAGAGUUUAGAGUUUGUUAUUCCAAAGAUAGAACUUAGAUAGACUUGUCAAGUUUCCAAUAGAAGAAGGGAUGGGACCAGAGAGUUGGUUCCUAGAAAGACCAAG